UUCAGAGGGGGACAACAGUUGGAAACGACUGCUAAUACCGCAUACGAUCCAAUCUCGGCAUCGAGGAUGGAUGAAAGGUGGCCUCUAUUUAUAAGCUGUCACUGAAGGAGGGGAUUGCGUCUGAUUAGCUAGUUGGAGGGGUAACGGCCCACCAAGGCGAUGAUCAGUAGCCGGUCUGAGAGGAUGAACGGCCACAUUGGGACUGAGACACGGCCCAG
RNAcentral lists this ribosomal RNA (218 nucleotides) under uncultured bacterium. RNAcentral describes it as "partial 16S ribosomal RNA". It matches the Rfam family "Bacterial small subunit ribosomal RNA", at positions 132 to 334 of the family's 1533-position model. The record is from RNAcentral.